Molecule: ribosomal RNA, 119 nt
Filed under: Cebus imitator (Panamanian white-faced capuchin)
Lineage: Eukaryota; Metazoa; Chordata; Mammalia; Primates; Cebidae
Source: RNAcentral
GUCUAUGGCCAUACCACCCUGAACGUGCCUGAUCUCAUCUGAUCUUGGAAGCUAAGCAGUGUCGGGCCUGGUUAGUACUUGGAUGGGAGACCGCCUGGGAAUACUGGGUGCUGUAGGCU